UGGGACCUCAGGUCAGGCGGGGCUACCCCG
This 30-nucleotide ribosomal RNA is filed under the name Swartzia grandifolia. RNAcentral describes it as "partial 26S ribosomal RNA". The record is from RNAcentral. Lineage: Eukaryota; Viridiplantae; Streptophyta; Magnoliopsida; Fabales; Fabaceae.